Long non-coding RNA from Ailuropoda melanoleuca (giant panda), 1094 nucleotides. RefSeq lists it as uncharacterized. Lineage: Eukaryota; Metazoa; Chordata; Mammalia; Carnivora; Ursidae. The record is from RefSeq and is a predicted model, not a curated record. The transcript is spliced from 5 exons.
AAGGGCUUUACUCUUAGAGCAGAGCUUCCCAAAUGUGUCUGCACAUUCGCAUCUCCGGAGAGCUUUUAAAAAUUCCAAAGUGCAUGCGACACCACAGACUGACAAAGUCACAGUCCCUGGGGUGGGACACAGGCAUCGGCGUGAGAAGCCACACAAGGAGCCGAAGAGCAACAGACUCUAAAAGCAUCUUCCCUUGUGACUGCAGAGGGAAGACCCCUUAAGAUCACGCAGACAGGGAAGAGUGCAGGUGGGCUUGGGGAGGUCCAGGCAGGAGCAUUUCAGGAAUCGGCACCUAACCAUCAGAGCUGACAGACUGGAAGUACAACCCAGAGAACAGAUUCCAGAGUUCACAACCACUGCCUGGGCCUUGGAACCCUCCACUGGGAAGUGGAGAUGUGGGGCAAGGAAGCCGCUGACCUCCCUUCUGCUCUGACAUUCUGUGGGACCUUGCUUCCGGUGUCAAUUGCCUGCGGGUUGUUAGACCUCAACAAAUAUUCUCUGGGCCUCAGUUUCCUGUGGGCUCUGAAUGGGACAGGGUACAUGGAAACAUGCAGCGAAUGACGGCAUACAGUAGGAGCUCAAUAAAUGCUGAAAGCUCAGACUCCCAGGCAGGAGGUCUUCUCCUGGGGGCCCAGAGGGAAGCUGGAGCCAUGGAUGGUUGGAGAGAGAAAGCUCCGGCCAGGAAACUGGCCUUUGCUACCGGUUGUUUUCUCUCACAUUUGAUUAUGAAAAAUCUCAAACACCCGGUACGGUUGAAAGCACUUUGCAGUGGACACCUGGAUUCCUUCACCAUCGUUUGACUCUACUUUCUGUAUCACAUCUAUCCUUCCAUCUCUCCCUCUCUUCCUCCGUUACUCCAUGUUAAUUUUGGGGCAUUUCAGAGUAACUCACAGGUCUCAGUACACUUCUCCCUAAAUACAGCAGGCAUAUGGCUAACUAGAGUUCCAUGGCUUUAUGGAUCUUUCCUUCCCAUGUGAAAUGUAUGUGCCAUGAAAUGCACAAAUACUAGGUCCAUAGGUGCUGUGUUUCGACAAAUGCAUGCACCCCUGUCAGAUAGAGAACAUCCCCAAUCACCCCAAGGUUGGCUACAGAUG